UCGAAAACCAUUGAGCGUGAAGGAGUAGCGGUAACAGUAUUAAAUACUCAGACUAAUGAAUUAAAAGAAUUUACUAACCAAACUGAAGCAGGGCAAUUUUUAGGUGUUUCAAGACAAGCUGUUUAUAAUGCAAUAAAAAUAAAUAAACCUAUUAAUAAAAUAUAUAUUAUUUCAACUAAAUAAAGUUCUCCUUACUAAUAAUUUCGCGCUGCUCACCAAGAUACAGCUGUACUGCAGUACUGAGGCCAAAAGAUAGAAAAAUAGAAUUAUUUUAGUUUUAAUCAAUAAAACUGAAACAGGCUUUGAGCCUAUUAUUAUCUAAAUGGAUAGUUAUUUAAAUAAAGAUAAGUAACUAUUUAGGGAGAAGUACCUAACUCUGCUCUUUUGUAGAGCUAAAAGGUAGAUCUGUGCAUGUCGAGAGGGAAACAGCCCAGAACAAGAGUAAAUAUAAGGUUCCAAAAUUAUUGUUAAUACGAAGUGAAAUGAAGAGAGUUUUUAUCUAUUUCGAUCAGGUGAUGGGCUUAGUGGCGGCCAUUUUUUAAAGACCUCGUAAUAGAGUUACUGAUUCAAACACCGGAAGACCUCUGGUGGAUAGAGACACCUAAAAUAUAUCGGAUCAAAACAAUAUACCGACACCUUGUCCAUAAUUAUAAUUGGUAUCCAUAUUAAAAGAUGGUCUGUCUAAUUUAAUUAUGGGGUAGCGGAACGUUGGGUAAUAUUAUUAAAUUAUUCUUUUUAAGAAUAAAAACACAUUAACCCAAGUGAGAAUGCUGACAUGAGUAACGAAAAAGGAAAAUUUUCCUCGCCUUAAGCUUAUGGGUUAUAUAAAGUAACGGCCUCUAAGUUAAUUGACCUAAUGGUCUAAACGAUGAAAAAUUCUAGGUUUAUUGCGACAACCUUAUAUAAGUGUGUAAGUGUUCUGGAAAAGCAUAAACAAGGUAAGGUAUAAAAGCGCUAUAAAUUAGUGUUUACCUAAGCCGAUGAAAAUACCGUACCUAAGUACCAAGAGGUAAGCUAGUAGAGAAUACGAAGGCGCUUGAGUGAACAAUCAUUAAGGAACUCGGCAAAUUAACUUCGUAACUUUGGGAGAAGGAGUGCCGACCCUGCCGUUUAAUAUCGGUUGGGGUAAGGAAGCAUAGAAUCGUGUUGUCCGACUGUUUAAUUAAAACAAAGCACGCUGCAUUAAGAUGAAAGUCUAAGUAUAGAGUGUGAUGUCUGCCCGAUGCCGGCUGGUUAACGGAGUUUCUGGACUGCAUUUGAUUUAUAAGUGUUGGUCUGGUUUUGAAGGAUACCCCGGUUAAUGGCGGCCUUAACUAUGAGGGUCCAAAGGUAGCGAAAUACCUUGGCUACUAAAUAUAGUCUCGCAUGAAUAUGAGUUUAAGCAACUCGUUUGAUUAUAAAAUUUAAUUUAUUAAUUUUAUUUUAUUAAAAAGAUUAGGAAAAUAAAAUUUAUUUUAUUAAUUUUAUUUUAUUAAAAAGAUUAGGAAAAUAAUAAAAUAAAAAUAAAAAAUAAAAAUAAUCAAAUUUAACGUGCUAUAAAAAAGCAAAUUCCGGGAACACCCUAAAACUUUAAUACCUAAGUAUAUUGUAAACAUUAUAUAUGGCUUCAGUUAAUGGCUGGAGGUAUGGUAAUAUAAUUAAAGAUAAAUGAAAAAAAAUGGGUUAUCGCGGAUCUAAAACAAACAGGGUUAUAUAUUUGAAUUAUUACUGAUUGUAAAAGAGCAACGAGCAGAUGCUUUUUCCAUUUUAAUAAUGGUGAGGUGUGCUCUAGUCACCAUGAAAAUGGCUCUUAAAAAAAGAUAGAGUAUUUUAAGAUUAAAGAUAAUCACAAUAACCAAUAAUAUAAAAGACUUAUUGGUAUCGCUGAAUUAGGCGACGCUUUUUCUAAAGAUAAUAUCUAAGAAUAAAUAUGUGAUACGGAAUGAUGUAACGAUACAACAGCUGUCUCGAUGAUUGGCUCAGUGAAAUUGGAAUGGCUGUGCAGAUACAGUCUACCUCUAGAUAGACGAGAAGACCCUAUGCAGCUUUACUGUUUCUAGUCAUUGCGUGUGAUCGGACCAACAGUAGGAAUAAGGUAGUAUUAUACGUAAUUGAAACACCUUUUUGAGUCUAUCACAUUGCUGGGGACAAUAGCGUCUUCCAUUUUACUUUGAAAUAAAGAAAAUGACUUAAUCUAUUUAUUAACCAGUGUUAAUUAUUCAAUAAUGGUAUAAAA
Molecule: ribosomal RNA, 2215 nt
Filed under: Drechslerella dactyloides
Lineage: Eukaryota; Fungi; Ascomycota; Orbiliomycetes; Orbiliales; Orbiliaceae
Description: large subunit ribosomal RNA
Rfam family: Bacterial large subunit ribosomal RNA (bases 776-1404)
Source: RNAcentral